GCCGGGCGCGGUGGCAUGUGCCUGUAGUUCCAGCUACUCUGGAGGCUGAGGCUGGAGGAUCUCUUGAGCCCAGGACUUCUGGGCUGUAGUGCGCUGUGCCGAUCAGGUGUCUAUGCUAAGUUCGGCAUCAAUAUGGUGACCUCCCAGGAGCAGGGGACCACCAGGUUGCCUAAGGAGGGGUGAACCGGCCCAGGUCGGAAACAGAGCAGGUUAAAACUCCCAUGCUGAUCAGUAGUGGGAUCGCGCCUGUGAACAGCCAUUGCACUCCAGCCUGGGCAACAUAGCAAGACUCUGUCUCU
Molecule: signal recognition particle RNA, 299 nt
Filed under: Saimiri boliviensis boliviensis (Bolivian squirrel monkey)
Lineage: Eukaryota; Metazoa; Chordata; Mammalia; Primates; Cebidae
Description: Metazoan signal recognition particle RNA (ENSSBOG00000004665.1)
Rfam family: Metazoan signal recognition particle RNA
About the family: The signal recognition particle (SRP) is a universally conserved ribonucleoprotein.
Source: RNAcentral